Roseateles aquatilis is the source of this 99-nucleotide regulatory RNA element. It matches the Rfam family "SAH (S-adenosyl-L-homocysteine) riboswitch aptamer". Lineage: Bacteria; Pseudomonadati; Pseudomonadota; Betaproteobacteria; Burkholderiales; Sphaerotilaceae. The record is from Rfam.
UGUUCCGAGGAGCGUUGCGACCUCCCCACCCAUCGAGGCCAGGCUCGGAACCGCCGCGCGACGACAUGCCCGCGGCCAUGGCAACCGCGCUCACCCGUC